CAUGAUUAUAUCUUGUCUCAUGUGCAUAGUACUCUCUACUCCACUCACUGAGUAUUCAUAUACUCACUCUCCAGUUUGGUGUUUUUGAUUGCAGGACAGGUAUUGUAUAGAGAGGAGCAGGGUUAGAGAUUGCCUGCUAGCUGUGCCGCUCCAUAGUAUAGUAUAAUGUAGAUAGAGGUUUAUACCCUUUUGGUGUAUUAUAAACCUUCUAUUGUAUAUAGUGUAUAGUUACAGUCAUAGAUCCUGUUGUGGAUAUGGGUUUGACCAUGGAUGGAAUGGAAACCAGAUUUUUAUACAGACGAGUUAUAUGCCUGUGAUGAUGUAUUGAUAUAUAUUGUCCAGGUUCAUUAUGUGACAGAUUAUGUGAUUGCUGCUCUGAUAGGGAGUGUUGUUGUAUGUAUUGAGAUAAUCCUGACAGGUCACCAUAGAAAAGGUGAUCAUUUUGUGCAUGCAUCAUGCCAAAAUUUUUCAGAAUUUAUUGAUGAUUGAUAGGUAGUAGGGUUCUACGUGGUGGCUAGUGGCCUUAUGCCUACCCGCACCCUAGGACCGUCGCGGCGGCCCGCCGGAAGCGGGGCGGGGGUCGUGACAUCCUAAUCCAAUUAGGACUCUAGGAAUCCUUCUUCAAGUAGGAUUCGUAUUUUAAGUCCAACUAAUCAAUCCCCA
This 663-nucleotide long non-coding RNA is filed under the name Phoenix dactylifera (date palm). RNAcentral describes it as "long non-coding RNA (PDAC_LNC019664)". Lineage: Eukaryota; Viridiplantae; Streptophyta; Magnoliopsida; Arecales; Arecaceae. The record is from RNAcentral.